GAUGAACGCUGGCGGUGUGCCUAACACAUGCAAGUCGAGCGAACAGACGAUGAGAUUGUUCUUCUACCGUUAGCGGCUGACGGGCGAGUAACACGUGGAUCACCUUCUUAUAUUUCUGGGAUAACUUCGGGAGGCCGCAUCCGCUACUGCAUCAUACAACCUACCGCUUGAAUCAAGAGUGCUUGACGGCUUUGCCGAUACAUUUAGCUGGAUCCGCGUCGGAUUAGCUAGUUGGUAAGGUAACGGCCUACCAAGGCGACGAUGCGUAGCCGAUCUGAGAGGGUGAUCAGCCACACUGGAACUGAGACACGGUCCAGACUCCUACGGGAGGCAGCAGUAGGGAAUAUUGGACAAUGGGCGAAAGCCUGACGCAGCAACACCGCGUGAGUGAUGAAGGCCUUCGGGUCGUAAAGCUCUGUUAUUGGGAAAGAACAGAUGUGGAAGUAUCUAUGGACGUCUUGACGGUACCUAAACAGAAAGCCCCGGCUAACUACGUG
This 497-nucleotide ribosomal RNA is filed under the name uncultured bacterium. Its description in RNAcentral is "partial 16S ribosomal RNA". It matches the Rfam family "Bacterial small subunit ribosomal RNA", at positions 28 to 507 of the family's 1533-position model. The record is from RNAcentral.